Molecule: transfer RNA, 72 nt
Filed under: Ovis aries (sheep)
Lineage: Eukaryota; Metazoa; Chordata; Mammalia; Artiodactyla; Bovidae
Rfam family: tRNA
About the family: Transfer RNA (tRNA) molecules are approximately 80 nucleotides in length. Their secondary structure includes four short double-helical elements and three loops (D, anti-codon, and T loops). Further hydrogen bonds mediate the characteristic L-shaped molecular structure. tRNAs have two regions of fundamental functional importance: the anti-codon, which is responsible for specific mRNA codon recognition, and the 3' end, to which the tRNAs corresponding amino acid is attached (by aminoacyl-tRNA synthetases). tRNAs cope with the degeneracy of the genetic code in two manners: having more than one tRNA (with a specific anti-codon) for a particular amino acid; and 'wobble' base-pairing, i.e. permitting non-standard base-pairing at the 3rd anti-codon position.
Source: Rfam by way of RNAcentral
UCCCUGGUGGCUCAGAUGGUAAAGCGUCUGUCUACAAUGCAGGAGACCCGGGUUCGAUCCCUGGGUGGCGAA